UGGGGAAUAUUGCACAAUGGGCGCAAGCCUGAUGCAGCGACGCCGCGUGAGGGAUGACGGCCUUCGGGUUGUAAACCUCUUUCGGUAGGGAAGAAGCGAAAGUGACGGUACCUGCAGAAGAAGCACCGGCUAAUUACGUGCCAGCAGCCGCGGUGAUAAGUAGGGGGCAAGCGUUGUCCGGAAUUAUUGGGGGUAAAGAGGUGGUCGGCGGUUUGUCGCGUAUAUAGUGAAAAUCUCAGGGUCAACCUCGGGUGUGCAGUGGGUACGGGCAGAAUAGAGGAGUGUAGGAGAGAUGGGAAUUCUUGGGGUAGUGGCGGAAAAAGCAGAAAUCAUGAGGAAGAACACCGGUGAAGAAGGAUAUCCCGGCAUUAACUGACGAUGAGGAGGGAAAGCAGGGGGAGGGAACAAGAUUAGAUACCCCCGUAGUCCAUCCCGUAAACGUUGGGCACUAGAUGUAGGGGACAUUCCACGGUUUCAGUGCCGCAGCUAACGCAUAA
This 497-nucleotide ribosomal RNA is filed under the name uncultured bacterium. Its description in RNAcentral is "bacterial SSU rRNA". It matches the Rfam family "Bacterial small subunit ribosomal RNA", at positions 355 to 862 of the family's 1533-position model. The record is from RNAcentral.